Molecule: long non-coding RNA, 604 nt
Organism: Amphimedon queenslandica
Lineage: Eukaryota; Metazoa; Porifera; Demospongiae; Haplosclerida; Niphatidae
Exons: 6
Source: RefSeq, a predicted model, not a curated record
UUUAAAUUCGUAAAUUUUUUAUUCAUGCAUUAAAUAAUGCAAGCAAUGACAUAUUCCACUUUUACAGUACUUCUGACUAUUAAAGCUAAUGUCACGAAAAGCUAUCUGUAUUGUUCAUGGUGGUAGACGAAACUCUGGAUGCUAUAUUUGGAGAUGCUGAUAACAUUUCCCCAAGACUAGAUAUAUUAUCAACUCUUUAUUUCCCUUGGCACUACUUAAUGUGACACCAGUAUAUUUCCAGAAUGACAUUCCUGUCAAAUUAUUUUUAGAGAUGAAAAUAGGCUACAAAGUUCUUUGUAAACAUUAAUGCAAAACUCAACAGAGUAACCUGAAAUCAAAUGUGUGGCUAAACAAGCAUUUAUUCAUGUUUGAACUGUUUUUUUUUUACAUUUUUGUUUGAGUUAUGAACAUUAUAAAUUGAAGUACAAUUUAGUCAGUACUGCGCAUGCGCAGAUUGCGCCCACGCAAAUAAUUGGAUCCAUUCCUGUCUUUAACGGCAUGUAAAAUGGCAGCUUUCUGAUGAUUGUAUCACAAAACUAGCUACUACUGCAGAAACUAGAGAGAUCUAUGACGACCCUUGACGACAUGAAUAUAAGAAGGAGAA